AAUCUAGUUGAUCCUGCUAGCGGCUGCGGCUCUCUGAUUUGCACUUAGACAUGCAAGUCUUUUUGUUUCUUCGGAAGUGAAAGGCGAACUGCUCAGUAACACGUAGCUAACCUACCCUUAAGUCGAGGAUACUCUCGGGAAACUGAGGUUAAUACUCGAUAGGAGAUGUACCCUGGAAUGAUUCAUCUCUCAAAUUCGUGCUUAAGGAUGGGGCUGCGGCGGAUUAGGUUGUUGGCGGGGUAAAGGCCCACCAAGCCAAUGAUCCGUAAGGGCUCUUAGCGGAGAGGCCCUGAGAGGGAAUCUGAGACACUAUUCCCAGCCCUACGGGGUGCAGCAGUUAGGAAUUUUCUGCAAUGUACGAAAGUAUGACAGAUUGAGUCAGAGUGCUUUUCAUAUGAAAAGCUUUUGCCAAAUGUAAAAAGUUUGGCGAAUAAGGACUGGGUAAGACGAGUGCCAGCCGCCGCGGUAAUACUCGCGGUCCAAGUCGCAGCCAUCAUUAUUGGGUCUAAAACAUCCGUAGCUUGCUUAAUAAGUUUCUUGUGAAAUUCCAUGUCUCAAAUAUGGAGCGGGCAAGAAGUACUGUUAAGCUAGAGACUGGAAGACGUAAGAAGUACGUUUGGAGUAGCGGUAAAAUGUGUUAAUCCCAGACGGACUAACAACAGCGAAGGCAUCUUACGAGGACAGUUCUGACAGUAAGGGAUGAAGGCUAGGGGCGCAAAAGGGAUUAGAUACCCCUGUAGUCCUAGCAGUAAACACUGCACACUAAACAUUAGUACCUCCUCGAGAGGUGUUAGUGCUGAAGAGAAGUCGAAGAGUGUGCUACCUGGGAAGUAUAGUCGCAAGGCUGAAACUUAAAGGAAUUGGCGGGGAGACACUACAACGGGUGACGCGUGCGGUUCAAUUAGAUUCUACACCGUGAACCUCACCAGGAGCGACAGCAGGAUGAAGGUCAGUCUGAAGGGCUUACCUGACACGCUGAGAGGAGUUGCAUGGCCAACGUCAGCCUGUGCCGUGAGGUGACCUGUUAAAUCAGGUAACAGGCAAGACCCGCAUGUAUAUUUACUACGUGUACAAUAUACAGAUUGCCUUGGUAACGAGGAUGAAAGUGCGGGCUACGUUAGGUGAGUACAGCCUGAAUCCCCUGGGCAACACGCGCGCGUCAAUGGUGGAUACAACGGGACGCAACGCCGAAAGGCGAAGCUAAUCUCUUAAAGUCCAUCUCAGUUUAGAUCGAGGUUUGAAACUCAGCCUCGUGACACUGGAAUCCGUAGUAAUCGUUUGUUAGCAGCGAACGGUGAAUAAGUCACUGUCUCUUGCACACACUGCCCGUCAAACCAACCGAGUUAUGUUAUGGUGAAACCCUUCGGGGGAGAACCUUGAUGUGACAAGGUAGGUUAAGUCGUCACAAGGUAACUGUAGGGGAACCUGCAGUUGGAUUACCUCCU
This 1445-nucleotide ribosomal RNA is filed under the name Candidatus Pacearchaeota archaeon. RNAcentral describes it as "bacterial SSU rRNA". It matches the Rfam family "Archaeal small subunit ribosomal RNA". The record is from RNAcentral. Lineage: Archaea; Nanobdellati.